RNAcentral lists this ribosomal RNA (252 nucleotides) under Catenibacterium mitsuokai DSM 15897. Its description in RNAcentral is "partial 16S ribosomal RNA". It matches the Rfam family "Bacterial small subunit ribosomal RNA", at positions 524 to 776 of the family's 1533-position model. The record is from RNAcentral. Lineage: Bacteria; Bacillati; Bacillota; Erysipelotrichia; Erysipelotrichales; Coprobacillaceae.
UACGUAGGUGGCGAGCGUUAUCCGGAAUCAUUGGGCGUAAAGAGGGAGCAGGCGGCCGCAAGGGUCUGUGGUGAAAGACCGAAGCUAAACUUCGGUAAGCCAUGGAAACCGGGCGGCUAGAGUGCGGAAGAGGAUCGUGGAAUUCCAUGUGUAGCGGUGAAAUGCCUAGAUAUAUGGAGGAACACCAGUGGCGAAGGCGACGGUCUGGGCCGCAACUGACGCUCAUUCCCGAAAGCGUGGGGAGCAAAUAGG